UUGAGGCUCUGUUCCAGGGGCUGCCUAUUAAAGCCCUUGUUAUUUAUUAGUUUAGAUGCACUUCAUACGUCUUCCACUAGAUGUCGACAAGGAGUGAGAGAAGAAAUGGACUGUGUAACUUGAUCUGGACUCGAAUUACAGCUCAUGGAAUGACGUGUCCUCCAUUUCCUGUUUUCAGGAAGGCGCGAAGAGAGACAUGGAUUUGCCUUCUGUUUAGCUGUCGUUAUAGGCGACUACUAUCUCCGGCUUUGAUUUUAUUUGAUACAUGUGACCAUAUCAUCGUAAAGUAUGUUUUUUCAAUAUAGUUUAAUCAGAUUAUUGAAAAAAAAUUGGGAGUUUUGCCGUGUUCCGUUCUCUGACUUUGUUGACGAUGGAGCGAUUCGUGCCACUUGGCUAGUGCGCUUGCUAAAUCAAGAGGGAAAGUGGCCGUUCUAAAUCCAAACAACGACUGUUCUGGACAAAGGACCCCUUGUCCAACAUUCUGAUGAAAGAUCAGCAAAAGGGCAGUAUGUAUUUCCUGUCGCCUCAUGCCACCGGCCCAGAGCCACACUACUUUGCGCUUUUGGAAAUCCAAGACCCUGUCUGCCUCCUGCUGUGGGUCAUCAGGCUCAUAAAGAGAGUGUGAGAGAUCACAUGGUGUUCUUCAUGGAUAGUAAUAAAGGCAUGGUGAGGUAAGCAGAACCAAGGGAUGGGUACACCUGCCUGUUCUCUCUUUUUUUGCUAUUGGAAGAAGACCACUACUCACCGCCGACGCUCCACCUUCAUUCUAUGGAUGCGAUUUUUUUUGGAUUUUUUUUCUAUUGUCUGUUUGUGUUCAGUGUUCACUAUUAAUAAGAAAAGUUUGCUCAAGUUAAUAUUUUAAUGGCACACCUAAUAAAACAUAGUCGAGCAUUGAACAUU
Molecule: long non-coding RNA, 900 nt
Organism: Salvelinus fontinalis (brook trout)
Lineage: Eukaryota; Metazoa; Chordata; Actinopteri; Salmoniformes; Salmonidae
Exons: 3
Source: RefSeq, a predicted model, not a curated record